Molecule: transfer RNA, 88 nt
Filed under: Haloferula sargassicola
Lineage: Bacteria; Pseudomonadati; Verrucomicrobiota; Verrucomicrobiia; Verrucomicrobiales; Verrucomicrobiaceae
Also listed under: 2 other names
Description: tRNA-Ser
Rfam family: tRNA
About the family: Transfer RNA (tRNA) molecules are approximately 80 nucleotides in length.
Source: RNAcentral
GGAGGGGUGGCAGAGUGGUCGAAUGCGCCGGUCUUGAAAACCGGAGACGGGAAACUGUCCGUGGGUUCGAAUCCCACCCCCUCCGCCA